UUCCGUUAGGGGAACCUGCGGAAGGAUCAUUACCGAGUUCUCGAGCUUCGGCUCGACUCUCCCACCCUUUGUGAACACACCUCUGUUGCCUCGGCGGCCGCUCCGGCCGCCGAAGGACCUUCAAACUCCAGUCAGUAAACGCAGACGUCUGAUAAACAAGUCAAUAAACUAAAACUUUCAACAACGGAUCUCUUGGUUCUGGCAUCGAUGAAGAACGCAGCGAAAUGCGAUAAGUAAUGUGAAUUGCAGAAUUCAGUGAAUCAUCGAAUCUUUGAACGCACAUUGCGCCCCUUGGUAUUCCGAGGGGCAUGCCUGUUCGAGCGUCAUUACAACCCUCAAGCUCUGCUUGGUAUUGGGCUCCGUCCUCACUGCGGACGCGCCUCGAAGACCUCGGCGGUGGCUGUUCGGCCCUCAAGCGUAGUAGAAUACACCUCGCUUUGGAGCGGUCGGCGUCGCCCGCCGGACGAACCUUCUGAACUUUUCUCAAGGUUGACCUCGGAUCAGGUAGGGAUACCCGCUGAACUUAAGCAUAUCAAUAAGGCGGAGGGAUCAUUACCGAGUUCUCGAGCUUCGGCUCGACUCUCCCACCCUUUGUGAACACACCUCUGUUGCCUCGGCGGCCGCUCCGGCCGCCGAAGGACCUUCAAACUCAGUCAGUAAACGCAGACGUCUGAUAAACAAGUCAAUAAACUAAAACUUUCACAACGGAUCUCUUGGUUCUGGCAU
This 726-nucleotide ribosomal RNA is filed under the name Lasiodiplodia sp. BAB-4624. RNAcentral's name for it is "eukaryotic LSU rRNA". The stretch from base 173 to 326 matches the Rfam family "5.8S ribosomal RNA". The record is from RNAcentral. Lineage: Eukaryota; Fungi; Ascomycota; Dothideomycetes; Botryosphaeriales; Botryosphaeriaceae.